UUCCGCAUUUGGAUAUUUCAAUCUCCUUUGGGCUUUUGGACUAUACCAGUAACCACUUUACCGACCCGACUACUCCUUCUUCCCUCUUUUGCGAGCUGAAUUAGGGUUUUGAAAUCUCAGGCUGAAUCUCAAUUCCAGCUAUCAGGGUUUUGUUCCAGAUUCACUCCCAAUUCGAUUUCCUUAAUACCCAUCAGGGUUGAAGAAUUUCACGAACACACUGUUCCUCUGUCUCGGAUUUUGAUUGGGUUUUGCAAAAUUGAAGGAAAAUCUUCCAAUCAAGGUAAAGGAUCAUGGUGGGAUUUAAAAAUAGGUAUAUGACAUUGGAGGUUAUCUUGGAUCCGAAUAAAGAACUUGCAAAGAAAGAUCCUGUUAUCAUUACCACAUAUAAUGUUACAAAAGCCAUCAAAGAUAGCAUUCUUGUGAACUUUGGGGAGUGUGGUCUGGCUUCUUCACUUGGAUCGUUCCAAGUGAAGUAUGUCAAUGAGAUUACAAGGCUUUGUAUCAUAAGAGCUUCGAGGGAGGACCAUCAAAAAGUAUGGUCUGCUAUUACCAUGGUCAGGAGUAUUGCUGAUUGCCCGGUGAUUUUUAAUUUGUUGGACUUAAGUGGAAGUAUCAGAGCUUGUAAAACAGCUGCCUUGAAGUGUGAUGAAUUAAAAUUUGAGCAGCACAAACUUGUGGUUGGAUCUAUUCUUUCAGCUCAAGAUACUCAAAAGAUGCAGUUCUAUCUUGAUAAGAUCAAAGGCUUGGAGCACUAAAGUUUUACUGCAUAUGUGGUGACAUACCGAAUUCAGAUGGCAAGUACUCUGGCCUGUAUCUUGAUGCCCCUUCUGUUGUGUGGGCUAUUUUGGCAGCUGGUAUAAGUACACUAGUUGUUUGAUGAAGCAUAAUCUAUUCACUUGUUACUGUAGGAUAACAAUGUGCUUCUAGUGGAUCACAACCAGAGGUCACUAAUGGCUGUUGGUAUUGUGAGUUUAUAAAAAUGUCUGUUUAUUCAUAGAGGCUUUCAAUUUUGGGUCUGCAAAGGGAGUGGAAUACUUAAAAAUGAUGUCCUGUAUCAGAAAUUAGUUAGCCUCACUGGCUCCUGUUCGUGGCACCAUUGGUGGCUUGAUGUCUUGUGUUCAGCCAAAUCUUGGCCUUGUAUAAUCCUGGAAGGUUGGAAAAGCUUUAAAGAAAGGAAGCUUACAGGAAUAUGCGUCCAAAUAGUUAUGAGAUGUCUUGAAGACAGAAUAAGGAGGUGGAUUGGAUACAGGAGAUUAGUUAUUUCGGAAUAUGUUCUUUCUGGUUUCUGUUCUUUACUAAGUGGGGGGGCAGUAGGUGUAUCCCAUAUAAACUCAGUGGUUGACUAGCAAGUACCAAAAUUCUUUUUGUUUAGCAACUCAGUGAUUAACUAACACGUGCCAAAAUUCUUUUUGUUUA
RNA transcript from Rosa rugosa (rugosa rose), 1416 nucleotides. It is a transcript of the gene named probable ribonuclease P/MRP protein subunit POP5, with no coding region annotated. The transcript is spliced from 6 exons. NCBI's taxonomy places the organism in Eukaryota, Viridiplantae, Streptophyta, Magnoliopsida, Rosales, Rosaceae. The record is from RefSeq and is a predicted model, not a curated record.